GUUUGGUUAAGUUAGAAAGGGCGCACGGUGGAUGCCUUGACACUAGGAGUCGAUGAAGGACGGGACUAACGCCGAUAUGCUUCGGGGAGCUGUAAGUAAGCUUUGAUCCGAAGAUUUCCGAAUGGGGAAACCCACCAUACGUAAUGGUAUGGUAUCCUUAUCUGAAUACAUAGGGUAAGGAAGACAGACCCAGGGAACUGAAACAUCUAAGUACCUGGAGGAAGAGAAAGCAAAUGCGAUUUCCUGAGUAGCGGCGAGCGAAACGGAACAUAGCCCAAACCAAGAGGCUUGCCUCUUGGGGUUGUAGGACAUUCUAUACGGAGUUACAAAGGAACGAGGUAGACGAAGCGACCUGGAAAGGUCCGUCGUAGAGGGUAACAACCCCGUAGUCGAAACUUCGUUCUCUCUUGAAUGUAUCCUGAGUACGGCGGAACACGUGAAAUUCCGUCGGAAUCUGGGAGGACCAUCUCCCAAGGCUAAAUACUCCCUAGUGAUCGAUAGUGAACCAGUACCGUGAGGGAAAGGUGAAAAGCACCCCGGAAGGGGAGUGAAAGAGAUCCUGAAACCGUGUGCCUACAAAUAGUCAGAGCCCGUUAACGGGUGAUGGCGUGCCUUUUGUAGAAUGAACCGGCGAGUUACGAUCCCGUGCGAGGUUAAGCUGAAGAGGCGGAGCCGCAGCGAAAGCGAGUCUGAAUAGGGCGUUUAGUACGUGGUCGUAGACCCGAAACCAGGUGAUCUACCCAUGUCCAGGGUGAAGUUCAGGUAACACUGAAUGGAGGCCCGAACCCACGCACGUUGAAAAGUGCGGGGAUGAGGUGUGGGUAGCGGAGAAAUUCCAAUCGAACCUGGAGAUAGCUGGUUCUCCCCGAAAUAGCUUUAGGGCUAGCCUUAAGUGUAAGAGUCUUGGAGGUAGAGCACUGAUUGGACUAGGGGUCCUCAUCGGAUUACCGAAUUCAGUCAAACUCCGAAUGCCAAUGACUUAUCCUUAGGAGUCAGACUGCGAGUGAUAAGAUCCGUAGUCAAAAGGGAAACAGCCCAGACCGCCAGCUAAGGUCCCAAAGUGUGUAUUAAGUGGAAAAGGAUGUGGAGUUGCUUAGACAACUAGGAUGUUGGCUUAGAAGCAGCCACCAUUUAAAGAGUGCGUAAUAGCUCACUAGUCGAGUGACUCUGCGCCGAAAAUGUACCGGGGCUAAAUACACCACCGAAGCUGCGGAUUGAUACCAAUGGUAUCAGUGGUAGGGGAGCGUUCUAAGGACAGUGAAGUCAGACCGGAAGGACUGGUGGAGUGCUUAGAAGUGAGAAUGCCGGUAUGAGUAGCGAAAGACGGGUGAGAAUCCCGUCCACCGAAUGCCUAAGGUUUCCUGAGGAAGGCUCGUCCGCUCAGGGUUAGUCAGGACCUAAGCCGAGGCCGACAGGCGUAGGCGAUGGACAACAGGUUGAUAUUCCUGUACCACCUCUUUAUC
This 1463-nucleotide ribosomal RNA is filed under the name Bacillus thuringiensis serovar mexicanensis. RNAcentral describes it as "bacterial LSU rRNA". It matches the Rfam family "Bacterial large subunit ribosomal RNA", at positions 1 to 1456 of the family's 2925-position model. Lineage: Bacteria; Bacillati; Bacillota; Bacilli; Caryophanales; Bacillaceae. The record is from RNAcentral.